Molecule: ribosomal RNA, 429 nt
Filed under: Actinomycetes bacterium
Lineage: Bacteria; Bacillati; Actinomycetota; Actinomycetes
Description: Actinobacteria bacterium partial 16S ribosomal RNA
Rfam family: Bacterial small subunit ribosomal RNA
Source: RNAcentral
UAGGGAAUCUUCCGCAAUGGGCGAAAGCCUGACGGAGCAACGCCGCGUGAGUGAUGAAGGUCUUCGGAUCGUUAAAUUCUGUUAUUAGGGAAGAACAAAUGUGUAAGUAACUAUGCACGUCUUGACGGUACCUAAUCAGAAAGCCACGGCUAACUACGUGCCAGCAGCCGCGGUAAUACGUAGGUGGCAAGCGUUAUCCGGAAUUAUUUGGCGUAAAGCGCGCGUAGGCGGUUUUUUAAGUCUGAUGUGAAAGCCCACGGCUCAACCGUUGAGGGUCAUUGGGAACUGGAAAACUUGAGUGCAGAAGAGGAAAGUGGAAUUCCAUGUGUAGCGGUGCAGUGCGCAGAAAUAUGGAGGAACACCAGUGGCGAAGGCGACUUUCUGGUCUGUAACUGACGCUAAUGUGCGAAAGCGUGGGGAUCAAACAGG